Molecule: long non-coding RNA, 649 nt
Filed under: Macaca mulatta (Rhesus monkey)
Lineage: Eukaryota; Metazoa; Chordata; Mammalia; Primates; Cercopithecidae
Description: lncRNA (ENSMMUG00000050128.1)
Source: RNAcentral
UCCAGUUACCUUAUUACAUGGUGUUUUAUGAGAAGACUGUAAUUAUGAGAUUAGUUUAUGCACUAAAACAUGGGAGACAAAUGAGCAAGGGGAAAUAAAGCAUUGUUAUAUUAGUUAUGAAUAGCAGCUAGUGAUACCGUUAGCUAUAACACUUGUGUUAUUAUAUAAUGGAGUUGCUAUAACACAGCUUUAACUGUAAGUCUCAGUUUUUAAACUCAAUAAAUGCCUUUUUUCCCUCAGGCAACAUCUAAUGCAGGUUUUCUGGUUGGUCUUACCAGCAAUCACCAAGAGAUCAUUGAGUGGCUUUGGCUCUAGGAUCAUGGAGUUCUCCACUGGAUUUUCAGCAUUUGACCAACAGAAAGAGAAAGGAACACUCAUGAGAAGUUUUCCUAAACCAAGACUUCUUCCCACAUUUCAUUGGUCAGUUUCAGAUCCAGUGAUCUUGAUUCUGAAGAAUUGUCGGUGUAUGAAAUCAACUCUCUCAUCAGCUGAGAACGGAGGCUACAGGGAGGCGCCUUUAUCUCGCAGAAAAGAUGCAGCACAAACAACCUGCCAGCCCUCGCGUGAAUUCGUUAACGGAAACACUGGUUGUGACCUGCAGUCAACUUUGGAAACUAAUUUAAAACUCACCUUGAUCAGCGUUCCUUAA